RNAcentral lists this microRNA precursor (59 nucleotides) under Microcaecilia unicolor. RNAcentral describes it as "Mun-Mir-132-P1_pre stem-loop". It matches the Rfam family "mir-132 microRNA precursor family", at positions 11 to 84 of the family's 84-position model. Lineage: Eukaryota; Metazoa; Chordata; Amphibia; Gymnophiona; Siphonopidae. The record is from RNAcentral.
ACCGUGGCUUUAGAUUGUUACUGUACUUUGGGACUGGUAACAGUCUACAGCCAUGGUCG